CUGAAAUGUCAGUCAGAUGAUAAAGUAGUAAAAUGUAGUGAGUUAAACUCUGGAGGAAAAAAUGCAGGUAAUUGUCAAAAACUAGAUUUGGAGCUGAAGGGCGACGAAGUGGUAAGGGACCAAAAGAUAUUAACUUUGUCUUUUACAUAUGUGACAUCAGUAUUCAUUAAAAUACUAAAAAUUAAAUAUUAAGAUGCAAAAAUGGAGACACAUUGUUAAAACGCAAACAUGGCAUCAAAUAAUCCAGUAUAGUGAAAUCUUAAACACCUUGAACAAAACAAUAACUUACAGCAUUUACGGUGGUCCCCAACCCAUCAUAAUACAUCACUCCUAGCUGAUAAGUUGCUUGAUGAUCUUUCUCCUGGAUUUCUUCAAACUGUGCCAAGGCUUCUUCAUACCAGCCCUAAAAGUCCCAGAAAAUAUUUCAUUUUAUGAUGUGUUUAAAGUAAUCCUGAACUGAAGUAUCAGAUGGUCAUUUGUGCCUAAGGGAUAGAUACACAAUUAACAGAUGAUGUGCCAUAUUGAAAAUGGCCCAAACUGAGAAGACAUUGUCUUAAGCCAUCAAGCUAUGCCAUCUCAGAUAGGUUGUGUACACUGAGGCCUCAAGAGAUCAAGUAAACAAAAGGUUAGAGAGAAAGGAAGACAUGAGCUAAUAAUUUCCCGAGUGCUAAAAAGAUCAUGAGGGAGUGGGGACAAUUCCUCGGGGUCUGAUGAAAACUUGAAGCUCUAUUUCUGAAGCCCAUCUAAUAGCACACAGAAUUUUUCUUAGGUCUACCUACCAAGCUAUCUCACCAUAAUGUGGAUAAAUAAGCAAAUGGUCUCCUCAUGAUGAAUAGGAUAUAUGAAAAGCUACUUUUCAAACCAAAUAAUGAUGGGAUUCAAUUAUUAUUAAUGUACAAAUAUCUCCUGAAUGAUACUACAUAUUGUGAAUAAAACCAUAAAAUGUAUGUUUUCAACUUGCAGUGUGAAAUGGAUCUUUCAAAAUGACUUCUUUGGAAUAACUUUCGUGAAGAAAGACCAGAUGUCUCCUUACUCUUACUUCUGUGUGCCACACAUAAAGCCACAACCAUAGCCUGUGUGACUUUACAGAAUUUCUCCGGCAUAACAAUUGUGGAUCCUGUAAAUGAGGAGAACACAUACCAUGGUUAACUUUCUUCUUCCAGAAAAGCACAAAAGGAGACUUCAUUCCUAGUUGGAACGGAUCCUAAAAGCAUCUGCCCCACAGUGCCUGGUUGCAGGACUCUGAGGUGGCAGCAACUCCUGUCUGUCUGUUGAUCCUGGGUCCUGUCAUUCGCAACUGUUGCCACUGAGUGGCAACAAAUGACACUGCUCACAAAGAUGGUUCCUGUCACUAGGGACUCUCUGUUACUUUGUAACUGAAGCUUAUCAGAGUAAUCCAUUUGAAAUGAAAGCAUUUGUCUGUUUUACCUGGGAAUACACUGUAUUUUAGCUGUGGUGCUCAGUUUUCGCUUCCAAUCUGUAUUGGACUGCCAUGUUACCAGAUGGAUCACCACUGUGUGGAGAGCCUGUUUGUUUACUUACAGUGAAAGUACUUGCCCCCAUGCCCUUCCUUCUGGGUGUGGCAAGUUUAAAUCAUUCUCUGAAUGAGAAGGAAAAGGUAGAAGAUGCCUAUUACAUCCACUAGGCUAUGGUAAGCAUUCACCGAGAGCCAAGUAGGGUUUCCUUUAUUUUCCCCCAUUUACUUUGUAUUCUGUGAGAAAUGACACUGAGGAAGGAAGAUGACAUAUUCAAAACCCUAACUGCAAUCACAAAAAUGGGAUUUGCAUGCUUCAUCCAGCCUGUCUUUCAUCCAGCCAUUUCCUGUUUGGAAACCUGUGUUGGCCAGCAGUGGCUGCCAGGGACUUUUUGUGUGUUCAGUAUUGGGUGUGCCCAAGAUGUGGGUCUAAAAGACCCAGACCAAACUUGAUAGAAAAGUUUUAAGUGUAGAUGGAAAGUCAGUGGAUGAAUUCUCAGAGAGAGAAUUGUGUCCCUUAAGGGUAACGGGAGUCCUUACUUUGAAGAACUUACCUGGCCUUGCUUCCAGGGCCUUUUGAAAAGGUCAUAUUUGAAUAGAGUUCAAGGGGACAGCUCACUGUUCGGAGGUAGUUAAGUUUUAUAACACCACUUUCCCUCCAAAGACUGGCCACCUGAGGCAACAGUGGCUAUUUCCAGCUGGCCUCUAAUUGGAUGAGGCAGCACAAACCACUAAGUCAGGCUUCAAGUGCUUCGAAUCUAUCUGACCCACAGGAGAAUUUUGCUUUCUAUUUUUAGACUCCUUAUUUUUCCUUUUUACACUUGGGAUUAAACCUAGAGCUUCAUAUAUUAGGCAAGAACUCUACCACUGAGCUAUUAUCAGCUCCUUUUUUUUUUUUGAGUGAAUUUCACUCAACACCCAGUGGUAAAUAGAUAUGCAUAUAAUUUAGAGAUUAUGUAUGUUUGUAAAGCUCAUGCCAUUGUAGUUUUGAAUACAUGGUAGAAAGAGACGAUUUACUUUUGGAAAUCAUGUAGUAAAGUACAUAAAUAAAACUCUUUUAUAUGGAAAAUUGUUCCUCACCCUCCCAUUGUGGCAACAGUUCAGAAUAGAAAUAAUCAUAAAAAAAGACAAGUAUCUUAAGCAGCAAGAUUUUAAAUUGGUCUGCUGUUCUGGUGACUUCAAGAAGUAUAUCAAUCAGGGAAACUCAACCAUCUAGAAAACAAUUGCAAGAGACAAGACUUCUGGUCCCUGCCCCAAGUCAAGUCCUUAGAUGAUUGUCAAGUGACAGAUAACUCCAGUUGUCUCUAGUCUUCUGGGAAACAUGUGUCGUUCUCAGAGGAAGUCAGAGACUUCAAUUUUAGAGCCAGACAGAGAGAAUGCUUUCUGAGAGGAAAACUUGAUCUUUUAUUUGAAAUCAAGAGGGGAAGGAACUCUUUUUAGUCUCACUGUUCUGGUAUCAGUCUGAAAUGUCUUUUCUUGAUUCAUGAUUAUCAAUCAGCUGAUGGAACUAUUCUGAGAGGUUUGAAAGAGUUUCAAAGGUGGAGUAAGUAGGUCACUUUGUAUCUUAUCUUAGGUGUACUUUAUUGAUAGUCAUUCUCUUUUCCCCUCCCGUCCUCUCUUCUCCAGAUAACCUACCUUCCUAUCUUGGGUUUUAAUAGAUAUAAAUUGUUAGUAUGGACCUUGAGUGUGUAAAAUUCUUGUCUAUCAUGUAUCACCUGGGUACCACAACCUGAAUGGAUAAAAAAUGGAUUGCAGAAACUCUAAAGGAGUUUAGAAAAUUCCUCUCAACACAUCUUUGUCUUACUGUGGUAUUAUUUUUCCACAUCAAAAAUGAAAUGAGUCCUUUUCUGCAGUGGAACAAUCCUUCUGUACACUGUGUCUCUAUGAUUGGUUUAAUAAAUAAGCUGAGUGCCCAAUAGCAAGGCUUGUUGUUUUGUUAUUAAUAUGGGAGCUGGAGAUUGAAUGCAGGCCCUUUAUAUAUCAGCACGUUUCCAAUUCAGAUAUUUUCCCCAGCCCCUUGCCAUCUUUUAAAGUUGACUUUCACCUAUUCUGAAAAAUGUUGAAGUCGCUCUAUGUUGUUUAAUAUCAAAUUUUAGCCUAUUUCUUUAUAUAAGGAAACAUAUUCAUCUCAUUAGAAUGCAAAUUGCAUUGUAACCUUAUAAACCAUUAAAUUAUACACCUAUGAAAGAAUUGUGCUAAAACAAAUUUAAGAUUUAUUAUCAGAAAAAGUUUGAUUUGUGCCUGUUUUAUACACCGAUACAACUGGAUCAAAUACAGUUUUCUCAGGCAAGGGAGUGGGGGCAUGAGUGGAAAAAGUUUUAAGAAGCCCUGUUCUAGGGAACAGCCUAAAACCCUCAAAUGAUCACCAUAAUGGACAGUGUGUCUUAUCAAAGAAAUAUAUUGGCUAGUGAAACUAAAUGGUUGAAAAACUUUGUGACUAGUUGGGAGAUUUGUGAUUGUGUUAAACUUCCUAUUCUUUAAAACUAGUUCCAUACUGGUUCAAAUAUCUUGUUACAACUAUUGAAAAAUAAUACUAUUAAACCAGCAAACUAAAUAUUUUGUUAAAACUCCUUUAGGGCUUACAGGAAUAAACAUAAAAUGUUUUAAAUUUCUCUAAGUCUUGUGUUUCAAAUAAAUUUUGAGGCUUACCAGACGAUAUGUCUCUUACCUGUGUGUUUCCCCUGUUGUUAACAUUAGAUUUACCACAAUCAGAAAGUCAACAUUGGUACAUUACCAGGAUUUCAAGCAUUAUAGUCAUUACA
This is a non-coding RNA of Cricetulus griseus (Chinese hamster), 4236 nucleotides long. NCBI's taxonomy places the organism in Eukaryota, Metazoa, Chordata, Mammalia, Rodentia, Cricetidae. The record is from RefSeq and is a predicted model, not a curated record.